This 847-nucleotide ribosomal RNA is filed under the name Epibryon diaphanum. RNAcentral's name for it is "LSU rRNA". It matches the Rfam family "Eukaryotic large subunit ribosomal RNA", at positions 74 to 937 of the family's 3401-position model. The record is from RNAcentral. Lineage: Eukaryota; Fungi; Ascomycota; Eurotiomycetes; Chaetothyriales; Epibryaceae.
AUUACCUCAGUAACGGCGAGUGAAGCGGUAAUAGCUCAAAUUUGAAAUCUGGCUCUUUCAGGGUCCGAGUUGUAAUUUGUAGAGGAUGUUUCGGGCACGGUUACGGUUUAAAUUUCUUGGAACAGAAUGUCAUAGAGGGUGAGAGUCCCGUCUUGAACCGAUUACUUCGUCCAUGUGAAACUCCUUCGACGAGUCGAGUUGUUUGGGAAUGCAGCUCAAAAUGGGUGGUAAAUUUCAUCUAAAGCUAAAUAUUGGCCAGAGACCGAUAGCGCACAAGUAGAGUGAUCGAAAGAUGAAAAGCACUUUGAAAAGAGAGUUAAACAGUAUGUGAAAUUGUUGAAAGGGAAGCGCUUGUAAUCAGACUUGAGCUUAACAGUUCCCCCUUCGUUCUCGUUGGGUUAUUCUGUUUUGUCCAGGCCAACAUCAGUUCGAGUGGUUGGUUAAAGACUUUGGGAAUGUAUCUACCCUUCGGGGUCGACUUAUAGCCUGGAGUGUCAUGCAGCCUACUUGGACUGAGGAACGCGCUUCGGCUCGGAUGUUGGCGUAAUGGUUAUAAGCGACCCGUCUUGAAACACGGACCAAGGAGUCUAACAUCUAUGCGAGUCUUUGAGUGGAAAACUCCCAGGCGUAAUGAAAGUGAACGGAGGUAAGAAGCCUUUAGGCUGCAUUAUCGACCGAUCUUGAUGUCUUCGGAUGGAUUUGAGUAAGAGCAUAGCUGUUGGGACCCGAAAGAUGGUGAACUAUGCCUGAAUAGGGUGAAGCCAGAGGAAACUCUGGUGGAGGCUCGCAGCGGUUCUGACGUGCAAAUCGAUCGUCAAAUUUGGGUAUAGGGGCGAAAGACUAAUCG